UGUGUCUGAGAUAAAAAAGACAGACAGUGCUAUGAUACAGAGAAGAUUAGCACAGCCCCUGCACAAGAUGACAGGCAAAAGAGACAGAGAAAUACAUCAUUU
RNAcentral lists this small nuclear RNA (102 nucleotides) under Ochotona princeps (American pika). The record is from RNAcentral. Lineage: Eukaryota; Metazoa; Chordata; Mammalia; Lagomorpha; Ochotonidae.